AGCUUCUUCUCUUCCUCUUUUCUCACACUUCCAAGAGUGUGCAGAUUUGCAUUGCCACAUUAGAGGUGUUGGUGGCGCAUUUUCCCGACUAGCAAUGAGGCACAACGGUGGCGACGACCCCCGCCGGGGUCGUCAUGUGCCACAAAUCUUAGUGGCAUUGGCCAUUUUGGCUGUUGCUAAUAUUGUUUCUGCUGACCCUUACGUAUAUGCUUCUCCCCCACCACCAACUUACGAGUACAAGUCACCACCCCCUCCUUCUCCUUCUCCGCCACCGCCUUAUGAGUACAAGUCUCCACCACCUCCUUCACCAUCUCCACCCCCACCUUAUGUGUAUAAAUCACCACCACCUCCUUCACCAUCUCCUCCACCUCCGUAUGUGUACAAGUCGCCACCCCCUCCAUCACCAUCACCUCCACCACCAUAUGUGUAUAAAUCACCCCCACCUCCUUCACCAUCUCCACCACCUCCGUAUGUGUACAAGUCACCACCACCUCCAUCACCUUCUCCUCCACCUCCAUAUGUGUAUAAAUCACCACCACCUCCUUCACCAUCACCACCUCCACCUUAUUAUUACAAGUCUCCCCCACCACCUUCACCUUCACCACCUCCACCUUAUUAUUACAAGUCUCCCCCACCACCUUCUCCAUCACCACCUCCACCAUACUAUUACAAGUCUCCUCCACCACCUUCACCUUCACCACCUCCACCUUAUUAUUACAAGU
RNAcentral lists this long non-coding RNA (722 nucleotides) under Nicotiana tabacum (common tobacco). RNAcentral describes it as "long non-coding RNA (NTAB_LNC007600)". Lineage: Eukaryota; Viridiplantae; Streptophyta; Magnoliopsida; Solanales; Solanaceae. The record is from RNAcentral.